CCGUUUGAGAAUAGCUAAUAAUAUCUCCAAUAAAAGUUCAUAUGAUGACGUCAGGUGAGAUUUUCACUCAAGACAAAAAGUUAUCAAGAAGCCUGACUUGGAUGAGUUAAUUAGACACCUGCAGAAUAAGCGUGCCCGUGAACAGAAUUGGAAAAUUGCAGUAAUACAGUCGUGGGCUGUUGUGUUACGACAGUGAUGUGUGUUGCCGUAAAGCGUUUUUCCCGCGAUGUGGAGAGUUGGAGACUCAGCACAGUUCACGUGGUUCCACCUUGAGCCCUCCUUCCAUGUCCGUGCGUCCUUGGACAUAACAGGAAUGUCAUGUUGGGAGGGUGCUGGAGCCUAUCGCAGCUUCAUGUGGGAAGAAGGCGGGGUACACCCUGGACAAGUCUCCACCUCAUCGCAGGGCCAACACCGACAUACAGCCCCCAAUAUACUAAUUGCUUGUAUUUCGUCACGUGACUUCUUCUUACUAAAGUUGGAGAAGAUGUUCAGGAAAAAAGGCGGCAUUGCGGGACCCAAAAAGGGACCUUGUCGGAUUCACUAAAUCAGGCAUCCAGGGAGAUGGAGCGUAUUCUAGCUGACUUCAGGUCAAAGGCAGGGUCCACUCUGGACUGUUACCAGUCCUUCACAGGACACACAGACAGGAACAUAUUGAAACUAGACCAGACGUCAUCUGCUGCUUGAUAAAGUACCUUGGGGAGCCAACUACUGAAUGAAAGAACACUUACCAGGAUAUCAUCACUGAAUCGCUCCAAGAAGAAUAUUCUGCAUUCAGUGGCAGGACAUCAGCCAUUAGCCUUCACUCUGCUACUUGGAGACAUCACAAUAGAGUUGGUAUUUUCUUAUCCUUGUGUCAAAAUGGCAUUGGUGCCUUUCUGACAUCACAUGUGAGACUGUUCGCUGGCUGUGGUUAGAGACCAUCAAGUGUCCAUCUCCUUGUUUGAGUGGACACAGUAGGUAGACGUUCUCCACGCUGAGCUUCAUUAAGCUGGACAUGCACUUAACACUUACAUUUACUCCAUUCAUGAAUGUGUUAGUUUUUUUUCUGUACUACUUUGGAGGUUCGGAUAAAUUGAAAUAACAUCAUACGGCGGAAGAAAGACUCCAUAUUUAUAUGAUUGAGUGAUAUUUACUUCCACGGCUGCUGCUUAAUACGACGUCCAUGCUCAAGGUUGGAUGUACUUUUGAACUUAGAACAAAAGCAAGGGUGAUGUCAAAUUAGGGCUGCGAGAUUUACCGGUAUUUUAGAAAGCCAUAUGUAUUUGGGACAGUAUCGCUAUACCUUUUUUUAAUAAUAUUUUCAUGUUACGUUACAGCAUUAAAUUAGUAACUAAUACGCUGAAACACAACUAACAUUAACACGCUAACAAUUAACAAGUGUCACAUAAUCAAUUACCUUAUUU
Molecule: long non-coding RNA, 1403 nt
Organism: Nerophis ophidion (straightnose pipefish)
Lineage: Eukaryota; Metazoa; Chordata; Actinopteri; Syngnathiformes; Syngnathidae
Exons: 6
Source: RefSeq, a predicted model, not a curated record